RNAcentral lists this ribosomal RNA (513 nucleotides) under uncultured bacterium. RNAcentral describes it as "partial 16S ribosomal RNA". It matches the Rfam family "Bacterial small subunit ribosomal RNA", at positions 28 to 523 of the family's 1533-position model. The record is from RNAcentral.
GACGAACGCUGGCGGCGUGCCUAAUACAUGCAAGUCGAGCGGACUAAUGGGAGCUUGCUCCCGUUAGUUAGCGGCGGACGGGUGAGUAACACGUGGGCAACCUACCUGUAAGACUGGGAUAACUUCGGGAAACCGGAGCUAAUACCGGAUGACAUAAAGGAACUCCUGUUCCUUUAUUGAAAGAUGGCCUCGGCUAUCACUUACAGAUGGGCCCGCGGCGCAUGAGCUAGUUGGUGAGGUAACGGCUCACCAAGGCGACGAUGCGGAGCCGACCUGAGAGGGUGAUCGGCCACACUGGGACUGAGACACAGCCCAGACUCCUACGGGAGGCAGCGGUAGGGAAUCUUCCGCAAUGGACGAAAGUCUGACGGAGCAACGCCGCGUGAGCGAUGAAGGCCUUCGGGUCGUAAAGCUCUGUUGUUAGGGAAGAAUAAGUGCUAGUUGAAUAAGCUGGCACCUUGACGGUACCUAACCAGAAAGCCACGGCUAACUACGUGCCAGCAGCCGCGGUAA